RNAcentral lists this ribosomal RNA (2929 nucleotides) under Salmonella enterica subsp. enterica serovar Anatum. RNAcentral describes it as "23S ribosomal RNA". It matches the Rfam family "Bacterial large subunit ribosomal RNA". Lineage: Bacteria; Pseudomonadati; Pseudomonadota; Gammaproteobacteria; Enterobacterales; Enterobacteriaceae. The record is from RNAcentral.
GGGUUGUGAGGUUAAGCGACUAAGCGUACACGGUGGAUGCCCUGGCAGUCAGAGGCGAUGAAGGGCGUGCUAAUCUGCGAUAAGCGCCGGUAAGGUGAUAUGAACCGUUAUAACCGGCGAUACCCGAAUGGGGAAACCCAGUGUGAUUCGUCACACUAUCAUUAACUGAAUCCAUAGGUUAAUGAGGCGAACCGGGGGAACUGAAACAUCUAAGUACCCCGAGGAAAAGAAAUCAACCGAGAUUCCCCCAGUAGCGGCGAGCGAACGGGGAGGAGCCCAGAGCCUGAAUCAGCAUGUGUGUUAGUGGAAGCGUCUGGAAAGGCGCGCGAUACAGGGUGACAGCCCCGUACACAAAAGCGCAUGUGCUGUGAGCUCGAUGAGUAGGGCGGGACACGUGGUAUCCUGUCUGAAUAUGGGGGGACCAUCCUCCAAGGCUAAAUACUCCUGACUGACCGAUAGUGAACCAGUACCGUGAGGGAAAGGCGAAAAGAACCCCGGCGAGGGGAGUGAAAAAGAACCUGAAACCGUGUACGUACAAGCAGUGGGAGCACAGGUUUACCUGUGUGACUGCGUACCUUUUGUAUAAUGGGUCAGCGACUUAUAUUCUGUAGCAAGGUUAACCGAAUAGGGGAGCCGGAGGGAAACCGAGUCUUAAUUGGGCGUUAAGUUGCAGGGUAUAGACCCGAAACCCGGUGAUCUAGCCAUGGGCAGGUUGAAGGUUGGGUAACACUAACUGGAGGACCGAACCGACUAAUGUUGAAAAAUUAGCGGAUGACCUGUGGCUGGGGGUGAAAGGCCAAUCAAACCGGGAGAUAGCUGGUUCUCCCCGAAAGCUAUUUAGGUAGCGCCUCGUGAAUUCAUCUCCGGGGGUAGAGCACUGUUUCGGCUAGGGGGCCAUCCCGGCUUACCAACCCGAUGCAAACUGCGAAUACCGGAGAAUGUUAUCACGGGAGACACACGGCGGGUGCUAACGUCCGUCGUGAAGAGGGAAACAACCCAGACCGCCAGCUAAGGUCCCAAAGUCAUGGUUAAGUGGGAAACGAUGUGGGAAGGCCCAGACAGCCAGGAUGUUGGCUUAGAAGCAGCCAUCAUUUAAAGAAAGCGUAAUAGCUCACUGGUCGAGUCGGCCUGCGCGGAAGAUGUAACGGGGCUAAACCAUGCACCGAAGCUGCGGCAGCGACGCUUAUGCGUUGUUGGGUAGGGGAGCGUUCUGUAAGCCUGUGAAGGUGUGUCGUGAGGCAUGCUGGAGGUAUCAGAAGUGCGAAUGCUGACAUAAGUAACGAUAAAGCGGGUGAAAAGCCCGCUCGCCGGAAGACCAAGGGUUCCUGUCCAACGUUAAUCGGGGCAGGGUGAGUCGACCCCUAAGGCGAGGCCGAAAGGCGUAGUCGAUGGGAAACGGGUUAAUAUUCCCGUACUUGGUGUUACUGCGAAGGGGGGACGGAGAAGGCUAUGUUGGCCGGGCGACGGUUGUCCCGGUUUAAGCGUGUAGGUGUGUGUUCCAGGUAAAUCCGGUUCACUUUAACACUGAGGCGUGAUGACGAGGCACUACGGUGCUGAAGCAACAAAUGCCCUGCUUCCAGGAAAAGCCUCUAAGCAUCAGGUAACAUCAAAUCGUACCCCAAACCGACACAGGUGGUCAGGUAGAGAAUACCAAGGCGCUUGAGAGAACUCGGGUGAAGGAACUAGGCAAAAUGGUGCCGUAACUUCGGGAGAAGGCACGCUGACACGUAGGUGAAGUGAUUUACUCAUGGAGCUGAAGUCAGUCGAAGAUACCAGCUGGCUGCAACUGUUUAUUAAAAACACAGCACUGUGCAAACACGAAAGUGGACGUAUACGGUGUGACGCCUGCCCGGUGCCGGAAGGUUAAUUGAUGGGGUCAGCGCAAGCGAAGCUCCUGAUCGAAGCCCCGGUAAACGGCGGCCGUAACUAUAACGGUCCUAAGGUAGCGAAAUUCCUUGUCGGGUAAGUUCCGACCUGCACGAAUGGCGUAAUGAUGGCCAGGCUGUCUCCACCCGAGACUCAGUGAAAUUGAACUCGCUGUGAAGAUGCAGUGUACCCGCGGCAAGACGGAAAGACCCCGUGAACCUUUACUAUAGCUUGACACUGAACAUUGAGCCUUGAUGUGUAGGAUAGGUGGGAGGCUUUGAAGUGUGGACGCCAGUCUGCAUGGAGCCGACCUUGAAAUACCACCCUUUAAUGUUUGAUGUUCUAACGUGGACCCGUGAUCCGGGUUGCGGACAGUGUCUGGUGGGUAGUUUGACUGGGGCGGUCUCCUCCUAAAGAGUAACGGAGGAGCACGAAGGUUGGCUAAUCCUGGUCGGACAUCAGGAGGUUAGUGCAAUGGCAUAAGCCAGCUUGACUGCGAGCGUGACGGCGCGAGCAGGUGCGAAAGCAGGUCAUAGUGAUCCGGUGGUUCUGAAUGGAAGGGCCAUCGCUCAACGGAUAAAAGGUACUCCGGGGAUAACAGGCUGAUACCGCCCAAGAGUUCAUAUCGACGGCGGUGUUUGGCACCUCGAUGUCGGCUCAUCACAUCCUGGGGCUGAAGUAGGUCCCAAGGGUAUGGCUGUUCGCCAUUUAAAGUGGUACGCGAGCUGGGUUUAGAACGUCGUGAGACAGUUCGGUCCCUAUCUGCCGUGGGCGCUGGAGAACUGAGGGGGGCUGCUCCUAGUACGAGAGGACCGGAGUGGACGCAUCACUGGUGUUCGGGUUGUCAUGCCAAUGGCACUGCCCGGUAGCUAAAUGCGGAAAAGAUAAGUGCUGAAAGCAUCUAAGCACGAAACUUGCCCCGAGAUGAGUUCUCCCUGAGACUUAGAGUCUCCUGAAGGAACGUUGAAGACGACGACGUUGAUAGGCCGGGUGUGUAAGCACAGCGAUGCGUUGAGCUAACCGGUACUAAUGAACCGUGAGGCUUAACCUUACAACGCCGAAG